This 1408-nucleotide long non-coding RNA is filed under the name Monodon monoceros (narwhal). RNAcentral describes it as "lncRNA (ENSMMNG00015019618.1)". Lineage: Eukaryota; Metazoa; Chordata; Mammalia; Artiodactyla; Monodontidae. The record is from RNAcentral.
AAGAGGCGCUGUUCAAACGCGCAGAAUGCUUGCUUUAAGAAACGUGUGAUCAGAGGAAGGAUGCUGAAUCCCGGUUCCGCUGCUUUGGGUACCAAAAUCUUGCGAAGCGACACCAGCUUUACUCUGCUGCUGGAAUGUGAUGUGAAGUUCUGCUCACUCCACUCUCAGCACAAGUCCUGAAUUAGAGAAAGCCCUAAGAAGUACACCUAAAAUGAUUAGAGAAAUGAUGGAAGGAGAAAUUUACUUGGCCUUCAUCUCUCUGGUAACUUGAUCUUCAGUCCCUUCCAAAAUCCCUGUUCUGGCAUGGAACCUUCAGAGUAGUAUAUAUUAACUUAUUUUAGCAUAAUUUAUAGCACACUAUAUAUGACAUCCCUGAUCCUCCUUCCCCUGUCUUUUUUUUUCUUUUUUCUUUUUUUAGGCCACACCCAGUGAUCAAACCCAGGCCCCGGCAGUGGAAGCAUGGAGUCCUAACUAUUGGACCACCAGGGAAUUCCCCCUUUGCAUUGCUUUAACCAAUCCUAACAAACUCAUUAAUCCCAAAGUUAAUAUUUAUUAACUCAAGAGGGGUUUGGACAAAUGUAUGAAUGAUAACUAUUACUUAAAAGAAGCUAUUACAUGCCUAAUCUUCAAUGUUGAUGACAAUAAGCACUAUUAUGUUCUCUCUUGGUUAGAAUCCCUGCUAUGAUACUUACAAGAUGCAAGAUAGACAGGUCGUUAAAGCUCUCAAACUCUCAGAUUUCUCAUCUAUAAACAAGGGAUCAUAACAUUAUUAGCUAUCUCAUAAGAUUGUAGUGAGGAUUACGUGAGAUAUUUACAUAAAACACAUAGUAUAUUAUAACAGUUUGUUUUUUCUGGGUUCACUUUACCGAUAGAACACUGAGCUGAGUGAACCAUGAAUUAUCAGCGUAGCAGUUCUUAAAUUCCUCUGUACUAUUGUGCUACCAGCACUAAUAGACAUUUUCCUCUGUGCUGCUCUUGAAGUUACAUCCUUAUUGACUCACCCCAUGUUUCUGCCUCUCCUAACUCUUGUGUUUUCACUAUAUGAUCCAGUAACUUGAUUCCAAUUCUUGCUUACUGUCUCUAAUGCAAUCCCAGCUUUUGACCUCUGUGUUUCUAGUAUGUUUACCUGAUAUCAUGAAAUCCAUUUAAAUAUCUGUUCCAAAUCCUUCUUAAAAAAUAUAUCUUAGAUGUUUUGCUUUGUGUAAGCAACACAGGUCUGUUAAAAGUCCUGAAGAGUUUUUAUUACAGUAGUAUGUAAAAGAUACAGAUUGCUGAAUUUUGCUUAGUUUACCUUGGCCAAAGGAAAGUAAAUAAAACAUGACAUUAAAUUAUUAAACCUGUUACGUCCAGUUAGAAAAUAUAAGGUUGAGGAAGAGUUUUUAGUCUUCUUUAGUAUUACAUUGGAAAG